Molecule: ribosomal RNA, 455 nt
Filed under: Hoylesella oralis
Lineage: Bacteria; Pseudomonadati; Bacteroidota; Bacteroidia; Bacteroidales; Prevotellaceae
Description: bacterial SSU rRNA
Rfam family: Bacterial small subunit ribosomal RNA
Source: RNAcentral
GAUGAACGCUAGCUACAGGCUUAACACAUGCAAGUCGCGGGGCAUCAUGGAGGUUGCUUGCAAUUUCUGAUGGCGACCGGCGCACGGGUGAGUAACGCGUAUCCAACCUUCCCAUUACUACGGCAUACCCCGUUGAAAGGCGGCCUAAUUCCGUAUGCAGUCCGAAGCAGUCAUCUAAUUUGGACGAAAGGUAUAUUCUAUCGGUAAUGGAUGGGGAUGCGUCCGAUUAGCCAGCCGGCGGGGUAACGGCCCACCGGGGCAUCGAUCGGUAGGGGUUCUGAGAGGAAGGUCCCCCACACUGGAACUGAGACACGGUCCAGACUCCUACGGGAGGCAGCAGUGAGGAAUAUUGGUCAAUGGGCGUAAGCCUGAACCAGCCAAGUAGCGUGCAGGAUGACGGCCCUAUGGGUUGUAAACUGCUUUUAUGCGGGGAUAAAGUUGGGGACGUGUCCCUU